Long non-coding RNA from Erinaceus europaeus (western European hedgehog), 500 nucleotides. RefSeq lists it as uncharacterized. NCBI's taxonomy places the organism in Eukaryota, Metazoa, Chordata, Mammalia, Eulipotyphla, Erinaceidae. The transcript is spliced from 3 exons. The record is from RefSeq and is a predicted model, not a curated record.
GUACAGAGGUUAUGGUAAGGGGUAGAGGGAGAGAAAAAGAUAGAACUACAUGUCCUCACCCCUCCCACUGCAUCUCUAUGAGAUGAUCAAAUGAAACAUGCAGAGGUAAGAGAAAUUGCUCAAGAUCAAACAUGAUGGAGUGGUCCCUCAGAGUAUGAUCCCAACAACAGUUACAUUAUUUGGAAUGCCACUGUGAAGACAGGUUGAAUGUGCCUAGAAUGUUGCUAUGGGCACAGUUAUCACUUGUGACCUGUGUCACAAACUAUUUCAGAGUCACAAGAAGAAUUCCAAUCAGUUGGAGAAAAAUGACACCUUAAGAAGUACGUACAUCACUAAUAAAAAGAAAAAAAAAUGUAUGUACAGAUCACUGAGACUCAGUAUAUCUGGAUCUUCUCUGGGUAUUAAUUUGAUUAAUAAUGUGUAAGGUUUGAUCUGUUUGUUAAUGCAUAUUAUCAUGGUCACAUGAACCCAGGAAAUUAUCAAAAAAAAUAAAUAAAUAA